CCACAACUUAUCAAAGAGACUAUCUAAAUCUAAUGCGAAUUCCAGGGGCUGUGUACCUCUCAAACACUGCAUCCAAGUCACCUGGAUCUUCCCGUGUCAUUCCCCUCCCAUCAUAUCUCGUCUGGUCGCCCCGACCUCUGUCUUCUUUUCUAGCAAUGCACCGUGCUCCAACACCGCCAAGUGAAAAUCCACCUCACACAGUCGACAAAUACAUAAUAUGAAGAAUACUAUAAAUCUAGUACUACAUUAAGGUUGUGAGGUCAAUUCAACAUUUGGAAAAAAAUAAAUAUGGAAAACUGUACUUAAUUAGGUCUCUGUUGUUGGAGUUGCAAGAUCUAUUUCCAUCACCGGUGACAUGGAAUUGUUGGAGUUUAAAUAAAAUUACUCAUCACAAAAUAAUGUUUGAACAACAAUUAUUUUGAUUACUAAUAGUUACACAAAAUAUAGUUUUUGUGCAACAUUGCAAAAUAAAUGGAUGUUUAGGAAUUAUAAAUGGAAACAAAAAAACAUCCAAACUUAGAAAUACCUGCAAAUGAGAUUAUAAGUUGGCUAGAAAACAUCAGCCUUACAUCAGUUCAAGUGCCCAAGCAAGAAGUAAAUACAAGAGGAGAAGCAUAUAUCGGUCCAAUACCUUCUACACAAGAAAGAACUUAACUUUACAAAUCUCCUCGUUCAGGCAUACAUAUGCUUCCCCCGAAAAAAUAAAGGCAUACAUGGGUUAAAUCAGGGUGCCUAAAUGAAGUAAAUCUUCAAUUGCUAGUCUUCAAUCAUCUCCGGUAAUGUUUUUUGCAUUUUGAAAAUAUAUAAAUGUUCAAGAAAUCAAAUUAAUUGUUUAAGGAGAAAGUAGCUUGUCACAAAAAGUAACACAAACUACACAAAGCUAUCUAAAAAAUGGAUUCCCAACUUUUCAUAAUAUUGUUUCAAUCCCAUGCCUAUUUAAUGCAAUGUUAGCGGUUUGCACAUUAGGUUGGGUUUCUUCCAACAUGCUAUCUAUGACCAUGAGGUGAUUUAUUAAUUCAAAGAAUUUGUUCAAGAGUGAAUUUACAAUGUAGCUCAAUGAACAAUAUGGAACAUAGUAAGGCAAUGAGAAACAACAAGAACCAUGUCUUACUAUGCUUGAGCUGCAUAUGCAUACCUUAAAAAGGAGUGCUGUUAUUGUAGAGCUUAAUCUCUAAUCAAGCUUUCUCAUUAGUGCAAGCCAUAACAAUAUUUUUAGAAAGUUUGCCCAAGUAAGACUUAAUUAUUUCACCUAGUAACAAGGUAAUGCUUUUCUGCAACCAGUUGCAUUCUGUGAGAAUGUUGAUACAUCACAUUCGCAAAAAUUGUCAGUGUCACUAUCCAAUGUGAAACCCAUCAACUUAAACCAACAUUAAGAGUAGCAAACGUUUUGCGCCCAGUAUGGAGGAGUUUUGAAAACAAAAGAUAUACCAAAAAGGGUGUCGUCGACCAAUAAUUUCAGAAAAUAGCUGCGGUUGAUUAUAUAAAAUAAAUAGAGGAAACAUCAUAUUACCAGGACAAGAGGUCACAUGCAGGUUACCAGCAAUCUCAGCAUCAGUGUGGUAGAUGAAGCUUUGUUCCAAAAAGGCUCUUGGACACAACCUAUAGCCUGAAAGGGCUCCAGGAUCAUAUACUGCAAAAAUA
RNAcentral lists this ribosomal RNA (1641 nucleotides) under Triticum aestivum (bread wheat). Its description in RNAcentral is "partial small subunit ribosomal RNA". The record is from RNAcentral. Lineage: Eukaryota; Viridiplantae; Streptophyta; Magnoliopsida; Poales; Poaceae.